This is a non-coding RNA of Lonchura striata (white-rumped munia), 2354 nucleotides long. The record is from RefSeq and is a predicted model, not a curated record. NCBI's taxonomy places the organism in Eukaryota, Metazoa, Chordata, Aves, Passeriformes, Estrildidae.
CACUGCAGCUAGUGAGUGAACUACAGUGGAACAGCUGCUGGAAACUGUCCAGUAGAAGUGUAACCAAGAGGUCAGGACUCCACUAUACCAGCAGACUGGCAGAUUCCCAACAGAAAGAUACUCCCCACCUUUGAGAACUUGUGAUCUGAAAGUCAGACAAGAAGCUCUGAACAGAGACACAGGAAAAUUCUGUUUGAAAAAAAAUAUUUUGCCCUUUCAUGUGGAUUCUCUCACCCUUUGCAUGUAUCUUGCCUGUGGAAGGUCUGUCUUCUAAGAGGGAGAAGAAGCUGUGACAAACCUUUCCUGGUGGUAAGUGCAAGUGGUUGUGAUGUGACAGCUGGCAGAAAAUACAGCAAAGUGGACUGAAGCAGCACUUCCCCCUCUGGCUUCUUGGUCCUACCCUACAGCAGCUCCUAGUUAUGACUGAGCAGGGCUUUUAUCAUCCAGGAGUCCAUCGCCUCUAAGGCCCUGAUCGUGGUGUGUUUGCUGCCUCAUGGGUCAGGAAAGAGGCUCUGCCAUGAUCACAUUCCUCCUAUGAUGCCAAGCCUUGCAAGACCACAGGUCCAUUUCUGUAUCUUGCAGAGGUGAGAGUGGUGAACAGGUGGGUAUUGGUAAACUGGAGUCUUUAAUGGGCCAUCCACAACUUCACCUGGCCAGCAACUAGCCUCUAAAGUAGUCCUUGUUUAAGGGAGGAAAAAAAAUAUGCUUCUGUUUCAUUCACCCAGGUGAAGGGAUGGGUAGUUCACUCUCAUCUGUUUGAGUCCAGCAACCACAACCACGUGAGAGCACAGAUUCUGAAUUUUUCAGUGCAGCAUCUUUGUCUUGAUCACUGUAAAUUGUCUGAACCUAUCAUCCUGAAACGCCUCCCUCAGUGUGGCUGUGCUUUGUCUGGGUAUGUGUGGCCCCAAGAAGCCAGUCUGAGAGUCAAGCAUCUAAGGACCUUAUAAUAACUUCUAGACAUUUCUUUUUACACUGAAAAAUGAAAUGGCAUCCCAGACAUUUCCUGGCCUUUUGUCCAUCUCUAUUUGAAAAACACAUACAAACUUUUACCUCCUUUCCCCCCAGUUGUAUUAGACAAAGCCAGAGACAAAUAACCAUGAGCAAAAGGGGCAGGCUACAGCUCUGCAGCCACUUCUCCUCACCACAAGCUCAAUCUCUGGAGCAAUCUCAGAUUGAAUUUAGUCCCUGAAUGCAAACCCUCGGGGUUGUGCUGAGGAUGCUGGAGAUGCAGUGACCCGUUUUCACGUACAGGUCUGAGUUUAUGGACAGAGGGGCAUUCAACACAUUCCUACAGCAAAAGGAGAGGAGCCCUUUUUUCAUCUCUAGUUUCAAAUUUGGCUUGACCAUUGUCUGAUGGAAGCCGGGCCCUGGGCAGGGAAGUGAAUACUCUAACAAGUGGCUUGUUAGUGAGGAAUGUCCUGCAGUAAGUACGGAGCAGCCUUGUCACUUCUCAGCCAAUCCUCAGAGGACAAUAAGAAAGGAGGACAAAAUGAGUGCAGCCCUCCUGGGCCUCCCCUUAAGAGUUUAAAAGCAAAAUAUUGAUUUUGAGUUACCCUGCUUCAACUCAGCUUCACUCUCCUGAUAUUUUUAUUCCCUUGUAGGUUUCUGACUCCAUUCGUUUUCUAAACAAAUCACUGGUGAAAUUGUGGUGUGUCCAUGUAACAUUCCUGCACCUAAAAAUAUGGUCAAUUGACACCUUGAAGGUUUCCAGGCAACUCUAACCAUUUGUGACAUCUUUAGCUGCAUCUCCAGUAUGUUCAAAACAGAUGAAGUGAAUGAAUUGAUUUUAGCUGCAUAAAACCCUUGACAAAAAUCUCUUUGUGGCCAUCCAGUUAGUCUCUUGGUGAUUUGUAGAGUAUUUGCUUAUGCCGUGAACUUGAUCCUUCCCACCUCUCUGUUUGUUUUCCGUGGGUUCCCUGCUCCUGAAUGCACUGCAGUUGCCCUCCCCAGAGCUGGAGGAAGAGCCAGUCAAACAAUGCUGGACCUACAGCCCACUAUGUCAUCAGUUCAGACCUGAACACUAUAUAUGCCAAAUGUACCAGAUGAAAAAUUGUGGCAACCAAUAUUAGUUGCUUUAAAUUAUUGCCAGACCCAAACUGCCUAAUAAAAUCAGCAGACUUGUAUAACUUGAUUCAAAGUCCCAGCAAGGCCAAAAUGAUUUUUCAACUUGCUUAAGGAGAUAGUGGAUAGAACAACACAGCAAAAAACUUUUCCUUUGUCCCCAGAAAAAAAAUAAAAUUAACAUUUGCAUGUAAUGAAACAUGCAGUAGGCCAGGAAUAAAUUAAGUGCAGAAUCUUAGCUCCUUUAAUCAAAUAAUUUGACAUUUAUGUGUGUGGUCGAAAAGAAAUUCUUU